GCUGAUGCCCAGUUGUGUCUGGUAAAUUGUUCUCUCAUUGUCUGCCUUAGUCCAAAAAAUGUUGGAACCCACUGAAAUAGAUUAAGGUUCUUAUGCCCACUACAUACUCAAUUAUAAUUCUGCUUUUGCAGCCUUGAAUAUCAUGGAAAACUGAUUGAGUUUCAUAGCCCACUUGUUAUUACUUGGUCAAAUGCUCUCCUUUACGUAAGCAAGCCAAGAGUGUCAAGAAGUAUUCUAGAG
This is a non-coding RNA of Pelobates cultripes (western spadefoot toad), 240 nucleotides long. The record is from the annotation of a GenBank genome assembly. NCBI's taxonomy places the organism in Eukaryota, Metazoa, Chordata, Amphibia, Anura, Pelobatidae.